GAUGAACGCUAGCGGCAGGCCUAACACAUGCAAGUCGAGGGGCAUCGCGGUGCAGCAAUGCACUGGCGGCGACCGGCGUACGGGUGCGUAACGCGUAUGCAACCUGCCCCGCACCGGGGGAUAGCCCGCCGAAAGGCGGAUUAAUACCCCAUGGCCCCGGGGGCCCGCAUGGGCAUCCGGGUAAAGCUUUGGCGGUGCGGGAUGGGCAUGCGUGCCAUUAGCUGGCUGGUGGGGUAACGGCCCACCAGGGCAACGAUGGCUAGGGGGUCUGAGAGGAUGGUCCCCCACACUGGUACUGAGACACGGACCAGACUCCUACGGGAGGCAGCAGUGAGGAAUAUUGGUCAAUGGGCGGAAGCCUGAACCAGCCAUGCCGCGUGCGGGAUGAAGGCCCUACGGGUUGUAAACCGCUUUUCCCCGGGAAGAAUAACCCCGAUGAGUCGGGGAUGCCGGUACCGGGGAAUAAGGAUCGGCUAACUCCGUG
RNAcentral lists this ribosomal RNA (484 nucleotides) under uncultured bacterium. RNAcentral's name for it is "bacterial SSU rRNA". It matches the Rfam family "Bacterial small subunit ribosomal RNA", at positions 28 to 507 of the family's 1533-position model. The record is from RNAcentral.